AGCGAACGCUGGCGGCAUGCUUAACACAUGCAAGUCGCGCGGGCAGCAAUGUCAGCGGCGGACGGGUGAGUAACGCGUAGGAAUGUAUCUUGAGGUGGGGGACAACCCUGGGAAACUGGGGCUAAUACCGCAUGUGGCCUGAGGGCCAAAGCCGUAAGGCGCCUUGAGAGCAGCCUGCGUCCGAUUAGGUAGUUGGUGGGGUAAUGGCCUACCAAGCCUGCGAUCGGUAGCUGGUCUGAGAGGACGACCAGCCACACUGGGACUGAGGCACGGCCCAGACUCCUACGGGAGGCAGCAGUGGGGAAUAUUGGACAAUGGGCGCAAGCCUGAUCCAGCAAUGCCGCGUGGAUGAAGAAGGUCUUCGGAUUGUAAAGUCCUUUCGACGGGGACGAUGAUGACGGUACCCGUAGAAGAAGCCCCGGCUAACUUCGUG
RNAcentral lists this ribosomal RNA (433 nucleotides) under uncultured bacterium. RNAcentral's name for it is "bacterial SSU rRNA". It matches the Rfam family "Bacterial small subunit ribosomal RNA", at positions 29 to 507 of the family's 1533-position model. The record is from RNAcentral.